Molecule: ribosomal RNA, 151 nt
Filed under: Boesenbergia burttii
Lineage: Eukaryota; Viridiplantae; Streptophyta; Magnoliopsida; Zingiberales; Zingiberaceae
Description: 5.8S ribosomal RNA
Rfam family: 5.8S ribosomal RNA
About the family: 5.8S ribosomal RNA (5.8S rRNA) is a component of the large subunit of the eukaryotic ribosome. It is transcribed by RNA polymerase I as part of the 45S precursor that also contains 18S and 28S rRNA.
Source: RNAcentral
UCAAAUGACUCUCGGCAAUGGAUAUCUCGGCUCUUGCAUCGAUGAAGAACGUAGUGAAAUGUGAUACUUGGUGUGAAUUGCAGAAUCUCGUGAACCAUUGAGUCUUUGAACGCAAGUUGUGGCCGAGGGCAUGCCUGCUUGGGCGUCAUGG